GUGAGUCACGUCGCGGUGACUGUGAAGAGGACCAGCAGCACACCUUCCACGAACCAGACUUUUGGAAAUGGAGACAAUCGAUGCCCUGUCAUUAUAUCUUGGAUUUUAAAUAAACGAUUCAAAUUUCAAAUACUUUUCCAAGAAAUGGUCCGACGGGACCUUCUGGAGUGCUGGUGGACCAAACUUUUCCUAAAGUUUGAUGUGUCUCUGAUUAAAUAGGAACAGGCACAGUUUAUUUUAAGAACUUCUCUCCAGAAAUAGUACAACGUACACGUUUUAGUGGUUUAUCCGAUGAUAUUAUAAACGUGUUGUUGUUGUUUUGGUGGUGGAUGGCAUCUCAUUGUCACAGCUUCUUGUCCCCUGUGGGUGAAAGAGUCGGCCAACAGGGGGUGACCCCAGGCAGCCCACUGGAUUAGAAAGAAAGAAGCAAAAGGCCUCUUGUGAGACAGCAGCCGGGGAACCGCUCAUCCCAGGUCAGGGAAAUGUGCCGACCUGCUGCCAGCAGGCAGGAUUGCCCCAACCAUCAUGGUCGGACCUGCCGCGGGACCUGUGAACCGACGUCUCAAGAAGCACCGAGAGGAGUUAUUUAAAAGUGCUCCUCUCCAGCCGGUGCUCGUGUUACCUCACUGGGAAUAAUACUUAUGCUCGUGGCCCCUGACUGACAGGAGCUGCUGGUCCACUGGUCUACGGUUCAAUGAGUAAUCGCGGUGAGGGGGGGAGUUUUGGGUCCCUCUUGGUUGUUUCCUUUGCAGAUGUAAAUCAUUAAAAUACGUUUCAUAGCAUCCAAAACACUUCACUAACUAGCUCAUUAAGUGGGAUCCACGGUGUCUUUUAUACAUGUAGACGGAUCUCCUGGGAGCUACGAACGCGCUGGCCUCUGCUGACGGAGCAGUGUUCCUGGCUCCAACUCUUUGGACACGUAUUCUACAACACCAGAGGUCAUUUGAUAGCACAGCUCCCACAACUAAAAAUAGAUCGGGAGAUUUCUGGGGUUUUUGUUUUGACUUCAACCCUUGGAACUGGUUUCAUUAACCUCUUUUUGGAACUCAGUAAACACAUGUGGAAAGAAAUCUAACCAUCACCUUUUGUCUCUGCUGGUUACACGUGGC
Gasterosteus aculeatus aculeatus (three-spined stickleback) is the source of this 1109-nucleotide long non-coding RNA. The record is from Ensembl. NCBI's taxonomy places the organism in Eukaryota, Metazoa, Chordata, Actinopteri, Perciformes, Gasterosteidae.